Molecule: long non-coding RNA, 406 nt
Filed under: Gopherus agassizii (Agassiz's desert tortoise)
Lineage: Eukaryota; Metazoa; Chordata; Testudines; Testudinidae
Description: lncRNA (ENSGAGG00000003298.1)
Source: RNAcentral
CAGGUCUUUACCUAAAUAGCUGCAGCAGGGAAUGGGAAUGCUUCUGUGCCCUCAUUUCCCAACUGAGUUUCUAUUUGUGCUCUGCUUUCUCCCAUCUCCACCCCUUUUAUGAAUUGAGGGGGAGAAAUCCAGACCAUGCAGCCUGGUAAAAAGCCUUUUAGAAGGAAAAAUGGCUGCCUGGUAUCUUGAAGAUUUCAAAGUGGUUUCCUUGGAUUAACAGAAAUAUUCUGAACUCUACAAAGAAAACCAAAUCCUUUUCUGGGAACAGAAUUCUUCGACAUCCCAUCUCUGCUCAUCAGGGCACUUCCAUUCCAUCUGAUGAUGAACAAUAUAUGCCACCCAACAGUACAGAGACACACAUCUCAGAACCAGCAAUGAUAUUUCCAUUAGACACAGAACCAGCUCG